UGGGGAAUAUUGCACAAUGGGCGAAAGCCUGAUGCAGCGACGCCGCGUGCGGGAUGAAGGCCUUCGGGUUGUAAACCGCUUUCAGCAGGGAAGAAGCGAAAGUGACGGUACCUGCAGAAGAAGCACCGGCUAACUACGUGCCAGCAGCCGCGGUAAUACGUAGGGUGCGAGCGUUGUCCGGAAUUAUUGGGCGUAAAGAGCUUGUAGGCGGUUUGUCGCGUCUGCUGUGAAAAUCCGGGGCUCAACCCCGGACUGGCAGUGGGUACGGGCAGACUAGAGUAUGGUAGGGGAGACUGGAAUUCCUGGUGUAGCGGUGAAAUGCGCAGAUAUCAGGAGGAACACCAAUGGCGAAGGCAGGUCUCUGGGCCAUUACUGACGCUGAGAAGCGAAAGCGUGGGGAGCGAACA
Molecule: ribosomal RNA, 407 nt
Filed under: uncultured prokaryote
Description: bacterial SSU rRNA
Rfam family: Bacterial small subunit ribosomal RNA
Source: RNAcentral